AAUGAACGCUGGCGGCGUGCCUAACACAUGCAAGUCGAGCGCACCUUCGGGUGAGCGCGGACGGGUUAGUAACGCGUGGGAAUAUGCCCAGAUCUACGGAAUAGCCUCGGGAAACUGAGAGUAAUACCGUAUACGCCCUUCGGGGGAAAGAUUUAUCGGAUUUGGAUUAGCCCGCGUUGGAUUAGGUAGUUGGUGGGUAAUGGCCUACCAAGCCGACGAUCCAUAGCUGGUUUGAGAGGAUGAUCAGCAACACUGGGACUGAGACACGGCCCAGACUCCUACGGGAGGCAGCAGGUGGGGAAUCUUAGACAAGUACGGGGGAAACCCUGAUCUAGCCAUGCCGCGUGAGUGACGAACGCCCGUAGGGUACGUAAAGCUUCUUUCAGCUGUGAAGAUAAUGACGGUAGCAGCAGAACGAAACCCCGGCUAACUCCGUG
RNAcentral lists this ribosomal RNA (437 nucleotides) under uncultured bacterium. RNAcentral's name for it is "bacterial SSU rRNA". It matches the Rfam family "Bacterial small subunit ribosomal RNA", at positions 29 to 507 of the family's 1533-position model. The record is from RNAcentral.